CCUACGGGAGGCAGCAGUGGGGAAUAUUGCUCAAUGGGCGAAAGCCUGACCCAGCGACGCCGCGUGAGGGAUGAAGGUCUUCUGAUCUUAAACCUCUGUCAGUAGGGAAGAACGGUCACUGUGCUAAUCAGCAGUGAAUUGACGGUACCUGCAAAGGAAGCACCGGCUAACUCCGUGCCAGCAGCCGCGGUAAUACGGAGGGUGCGAGCGUUAAUCGGAAUUACUGGGCGUAAAGCGCUCGUAGGCGGUAUGUCAAGUCAAGGGUGAAAUCCCCGCGCUCAACGUGGGAACUGCCUUUGAGACUGGCAGACUGGAGUGUGUGAGAGGUUAGUGGAAUUCCAGGUGUAGGAGUGAAAUCCGUAGAUAUCUGGAGGAACAUCAGUGGCGAAGGCGACUAUCUGGCACAUAACUGACGCUGAGGAGCGAAAGCGUGGGUAGCAAACAGGAUUAGAUACCCUGGUAGUC
RNAcentral lists this ribosomal RNA (465 nucleotides) under uncultured bacterium. RNAcentral's name for it is "partial 16S ribosomal RNA". It matches the Rfam family "Bacterial small subunit ribosomal RNA", at positions 338 to 795 of the family's 1533-position model. The record is from RNAcentral.